AGAGUUUGAUCCUGGCACAGGACGAACGCUUGCGGCGUGCCUAAGAAAUGCAAGUCGAGCGAGGUUCAGCCUUCGGGCGAAGACCUAGCGGCGAACGGUCGCGCAACACGUAAGCAACCUGCCCUAAAAUGGGGGAUAGCCCACCGAAAGGUGGAUUAAUACCGCAUGUGGACAUUGGAUCGCAUGUACCGAUGUCUAUAGCAGCAAUGCGUUUUAGGAUGGGCUUGCGGCCUAUCAGCUAGUUGGUGUGGGUAACGGCUUACCAAGGCGACGACGGGUAGCUGGUCUGAGAGGAUGGUCAGCCGGACUGGGACUGAGAUACGGCCCAGACUCCUACGGGGGGCAUCAAUUAGGAAUCUUGCGCAAUGGGCGAAAGCCUGACGCAGCGACGCCGCGUGACUGAUGAAGUCUUUCGGGAUGUAAAGGUCUUUUGCAUGGGACGAAGGAAGUGACGGUACCAUGCGAAUAAGCCCCGGCUAACUACGUGCCAGCAGCCGCGGUAAUACGUAGGGGGCGAGCGUUGUCCGAAUUCACUGGGCGUAAAGCGCGCGUAGGCGGACAUGUAAGUUGUGGGUGAAAUCCCGAGGCUUAACCUCGGAGCUGCCUGCAAAACUGCAUGUCUUGAGGUUUGGAGAGGGAAGUGGAAUUCCAGGUGUAGCGGUGAAAUGCGUAGAUAUCUGGAGGAACACCCGUGGCGAAGGCGGCUUCCUGGCCAUAUCCUGACGCUGAGGUGCGAAAGCUAGGGGAGCGAACGGGAUUAGAUACCCCGGUAGUCCUAGCCGUAAACGAUGGAUACUAGGUGUUAGAGGUAUCGACCCCUCUAGUG
RNAcentral lists this ribosomal RNA (826 nucleotides) under uncultured bacterium. Its description in RNAcentral is "bacterial SSU rRNA". It matches the Rfam family "Bacterial small subunit ribosomal RNA", at positions 8 to 845 of the family's 1533-position model. The record is from RNAcentral.